GACGAACGCUGGCGGCGUGCUGAACACAUGCGAGUCGAACGGCGAAGCUCCAGCUUGCUGGAGUGGAUCAGUGGCGAACGGGUGAGUAACACGUGAGCAACCUGCCCCGGACUCUGGAAUAAGCGCUGGAAACGGCGGCUAAUACUGGAUACGAGAAGGGUCCGCAUGGGCACUUUCUGGAAAGUUCUACGGCUGGGGAUGGGCUCGAGGCCGUUCAGCUUGUUGGUGAGGUAAUGGCUAACCAAGGCGACGACGGGUAGCCGGCCUGAGAGGGCGACCGGCGACACUGCGACUGAGAGCAGGCGCAGACCCCUACGGGAGGAAGGCGUGGGGAAUCCUGCAGCAUGGGCGGAAGUCUGAGGUAGCGACGCCGCGUGGGGGAUGAUGGCAGUCGCGUUGUAACCCGCUUUGCGCAGGGAAGAAGCGCACGUGACGGUACCUGAAGAAGAAGCGCCGGCUACCUACGUG
Molecule: ribosomal RNA, 468 nt
Filed under: uncultured bacterium
Lineage: Bacteria
Description: partial 16S ribosomal RNA
Rfam family: Bacterial small subunit ribosomal RNA
Source: RNAcentral